AGAUUGAACGCUGGCGGCAUGCCUUACACAUGCAAGUCGAACGGCAGCACGGGAGCAAUCCUGGUGGCGAGUGGCGAACGGGUGAGUAAUAUAUCGGAACGUGCCCAGUCGUGGGGGAUAACGCAGCGAAAGCUGUGCUAAUACCGCAUACGAUCUCUGGAUGAAAGCGGGGGACUCGCAAGGGCCUCGCGCGAUUGGAGCGGCCGAUAUCAGAUUAGCUAGUUGGUGGGGUAAAAGCUCACCAAGGCGACGAUCUGUAGCUGGUCUGAGAGGACGACCAGCCACACUGGAACUGAGACACGGUCCAGACUCCUACGGGAGCAGCAGUGGGGAAUUUUGGACAAUGGGCGCAAGCCUGAUCCAGCAAUGCCGCGUGCAGGAUGAAGGCCUUGGUUGUAAACUGCUUUUGUACGGAACGAAACGGCUUACUUUUAAUAAAGAGGACUAAUGACGUACCGUAAGAAUAA
RNAcentral lists this ribosomal RNA (467 nucleotides) under uncultured soil bacterium. RNAcentral describes it as "bacterial SSU rRNA". It matches the Rfam family "Bacterial small subunit ribosomal RNA", at positions 26 to 489 of the family's 1533-position model. The record is from RNAcentral.